RNAcentral lists this ribosomal RNA (433 nucleotides) under uncultured bacterium. Its description in RNAcentral is "partial 16S ribosomal RNA". It matches the Rfam family "Bacterial small subunit ribosomal RNA", at positions 29 to 507 of the family's 1533-position model. The record is from RNAcentral.
AACGAACGCUGGCGGCAUGCCUAACACAUGCAAGUCGAACGAGACCUUCGGGUCUAGUGGCGCACGGGUGCGUAACGCGUGGGAACCUGCCCUUAGGUUCGGAAUAACUCCCCGAAAGGGGUGCUAAUACCGGAUAAUGUCUUCGGACCAAAGAUUUAUCGCCUUUGGAUGGGCCCGCGUUGGAUUAGCUAGUUGGGAGGGUAAAAGCCUACCAAGGAGAGGAUCCAUAGCUGGUCUGAGAGGAUGAUCAGCCACACUGGGACUGAGACACGGCCCAGACUACUGCGGGAGGGAGGAGUGGGGAAUAUUGGACAAUGGGCGGAAGCCUGAUCCAGCAAUGCCGCGUGAGUGAUGAAGGCCUUAGGGUUGUAAAGCUCUUUUAACCGGGAUGAUAAUGACAGUACCGAGAGAAUAAGCUCCGGCUAACUCCGUG